Molecule: ribosomal RNA, 603 nt
Filed under: Aedes albopictus (Asian tiger mosquito)
Lineage: Eukaryota; Metazoa; Arthropoda; Insecta; Diptera; Culicidae
Description: partial 12S ribosomal RNA
Source: RNAcentral
GGUUAUACAAAUAAUACAAAUAAAAAUUUUUAGUAUUAGUUAAAUGAUUAAAUUUAUAAUAUAAAUUUAAAUUUAUUAGGUGAAAUUUUUAAAUUUAUUUAUUUAUUAUUAUUAAAAAUAAUUUAAGCUAUAAACUUUUUAUAAUAAACUAGGAUUAGAUACCCUAUUAUUAAAAAUAAAUAUUUAAAUGCUAAAGUAGUAUUAGUUAUAUUCUUAAAAUUUAAAAAAUUUGGCGGUGUUUUAGUCUAUUUAGAGGAAUCUGUUCUGUAAUUGAUAAUUCACAUUGAACCUUACUUAAAUUUGUUUAAUUUGUAUAUCGCCGUCAUCAGAAUAUGUUAUAAGAUAAAAAUUUUCUAAAAAUUUAAUUUAAUAAAAUGUCAGGUCAAGGUGCAGUUUAUAUUUAAGUAGAAAUGGAUUACAAUAAUUUUAUUUAAAUGGAUAAUUUUUUGAAAUAAAGAUUUGAAGGUGGAUUUAAUAGUAAUAUAAAAGAGAUUAUUUAUAUGAUUUUAGCUCUAAAACAUGUACAUAUCGCCCAUCGUUCUUAUUUUUAAAAUAAGAUAAGUUGUAACAUAGUAGAUGUACUGGAAAGUGUAUCUAGAAAGA